Molecule: ribosomal RNA, 465 nt
Filed under: Vreelandella stevensii
Lineage: Bacteria; Pseudomonadati; Pseudomonadota; Gammaproteobacteria; Oceanospirillales; Halomonadaceae
Description: partial 16S ribosomal RNA
Rfam family: Bacterial small subunit ribosomal RNA
Source: RNAcentral
CCUACGGGUGGCAGCAGUGGGGAAUAUUGGACAAUGGGCGAAAGCCUGAUCCAGCCAUGCCGCGUGUGUGAAGAAGGCCUUCGGGUUGUAAAGCACUUUCAGUGGGGAAGAAAGCCUUGGGGCUAAUACCCUCGAGGAAGGACAUCACCCACAGAAGAAGCACCGGCUAACUCCGUGCCAGCAGCCGCGGUAUUACGGAGGGUGCGAGCGUUAAUCGGAAUUACUGGGCGUAAAGCGCGCGUAGGCGGUCUGAUAAGCCGGUUGUGAAAGCCCCGGGCGCAACCUGGGAACGGCAUCCGGAACUGUCAGGCUAGAGUGCAGGAGAGGAAGGUAGAAUUCCCGGUGUAGCGGUGAAAUGCGUAGAGAUCGGGAGGAAUACCAGUGGCGAAGGCGGCCUUCUGGACUGACACUGACGCUGAGGUGCGAAAGCGUGGGUAGCAAACAGGAUUAGAUACCCGUGUAGUC